Molecule: microRNA precursor, 67 nt
Filed under: Mus pahari (shrew mouse)
Lineage: Eukaryota; Metazoa; Chordata; Mammalia; Rodentia; Muridae
Description: microRNA 7681 (MGP_PahariEiJ_G0007469.1)
Source: RNAcentral
GUCCUGUCCUUGCCCUCUCUGUUGGUGUCAGAAACCUACACCUACAGAGAGGGCACUGACAGGAUAG